GUAGUCGAUGGGAAACGGGUUAAUAUUCCCGUACUUCUUACAAUUGCGAUGGGGGGACGGAGAAGGCUAGGUGGGCCUGGCGACGGUUGUCCAGGUUCAAGUGCGUAGGCUUAAGAGUUAGGUAAAUCCGGCUCUUUCUAAGGCUGAGACACGACGUCGAGCUACUACGGUAGUGAAGUCAUUGAUGCCAUGCUUCCAGGAAAAGCCUCUAAGCUUCAGGUUGUAAGGAAUCGUACCCCAAACCGACAC
RNAcentral lists this ribosomal RNA (249 nucleotides) under Vibrio alginolyticus. RNAcentral's name for it is "partial 23S ribosomal RNA". It matches the Rfam family "Bacterial large subunit ribosomal RNA", at positions 1411 to 1660 of the family's 2925-position model. Lineage: Bacteria; Pseudomonadati; Pseudomonadota; Gammaproteobacteria; Vibrionales; Vibrionaceae. The record is from RNAcentral.